GACGAACGCUGGCGGCGUGCUUAACACAUGCAAGUGGAGCGACGAACCGGGGCUUGCCCCGGGGCAGAGCCGCGAACGGGUGAGUAACACGUGGGUAACCCACCUCGAUGACCGGGACAACCCGAGGAAACUCGGGCUAAUACCGGAUGUGAUCCGUCCCCUCAAGGGGACGAAUGAAAGAUAGCUUCGGCCUUCGCAUCGAGACGGGCCCGCGGCCCAUUAGCUUGUUGGUGGGGUAAUGGCCUACCAAGGCUUCGAUGGGUAGCUGGUCUGAGAGGACGAUCAGCCACACUGGGACUGAGACACGGCCCAGACUCCUACGGGAGGCAGCAGUGGGGAAUCUUGCGCAAUGCGCGAAAGCGUGACGCAGCAACGCCGCGUGGGGGAAGACGGCCUUCGGGUUGUAAACCCCUUUCAGUUGGGACGAAGCUUCGACGGUGAAUAGCCGGCUGGAGUGACGGUACCUUCAGAAGAAGCCCCGGCUAACUACGUGCCAGCAGCCGCAGUAAUAC
This 512-nucleotide ribosomal RNA is filed under the name uncultured bacterium. RNAcentral describes it as "bacterial SSU rRNA". It matches the Rfam family "Bacterial small subunit ribosomal RNA", at positions 28 to 526 of the family's 1533-position model. The record is from RNAcentral.